CCACAAUGCGCAGGCGUCAUCGCUCACUUCUCCCCUCCCGGCUUCUGCUCCACCUGACGCCUGCGCAGUAAGUAAGCCUGCCAGACACGCUGUGGCGGCUGCCUGAAGCUAGUGAGUCGCGGCGCCGCGCACUUGUGGUUGGGUCAGUGCCGCGCGCCGCUCGGUCGUUACCGCGAGGCGCUGGUGGCCUUCAGGCUGGACGGCGCGGGUCAGCCCUGGUUUGCCGGCUUCUGGGUCUUUGAACAGCCGCGAUGUCGAUCUUCACCCCCACCAACCAGAUCCGCCUAACCAAUGUGGCCGUGGUACGGAUGAAGCGCGCCAGGAAGCGCUUCGAAAUCGCCUGCUACAAAAACAAGGUCGUCGGCUGGCGGAGCGGCUUAUUUUGACUAAAGGAGAAGUUCAAGUAUCAGAUAAAGACACACACAACUGGAGCAGAUGUUUAGGGACAUUGCAAUUAUUGUGGCAGACAAAUGUGUGACUCCUGAAACAAAGAGACCAUACACCGUGAUCCUUAUUGAGAGAGCCAUGAAGGACAUCCACUAUUUGGUGAAAACCAACAGGAGUACAAAACAGCAGGUAUGUCUGAUUGACCUGGGCUGCUUCCGAGAAAUUGAUGAGCUAAUAAAAAAGGAAACCAAAGGCAAAGGUUCUUUGGAAGUACUCAAUCUGAAAGAUUUGAAGAAGGAGAUGAGAAAUUUGAAUGACACCCAUCAGUCUCUUCACCUCUAAAACACUAAAGUGUUUUCGUUUCCAACAGCACUGUUUCAUGUCUGUGGUCUGCCAAAUACUUGCUCAAACUAUUUGACAUUUUCUAUCUUUGUGUUAACAGUGGACACAGCAAGGCUUUCCUACAUAAGUAUAAUAAUGUGGGAAUGAUUUGGUUUUAAUUAUAAACUGGGGUCUAAAUCCUAAAGCAAAAUUGAAACUCCAGGAUGCAAAAUCCAGAGUGGCAUUUUGCUACUCUGUCUCAUGCCUUGAUAGCUUUCCAAAAUGAAAGUUACUUGAGGCAGCUCUUGUGGGUGAAAAGUUUUUUGUACAGUAGAGUAAGAUUAUUAGGGGUAUGUCUAUACGACAAAAGGGGGGUCUUUCCUAAAAAAGAAAACAUGAUGCUUCAUUUCUACUUAAUGGAACUUGUGUUCUGAGGGUCAUUAUGGUAUCGUAAUAUAAAGCUUGGAUGAUGUUCCUGAUUAUCUGAGAAACAGAUAUAGAAAAAUUGUGUCGGACUUAAAUAAUUUUCGUUGAACAUGCUGC
This 1251-nucleotide long non-coding RNA is filed under the name Homo sapiens (human). RNAcentral's name for it is "non-protein coding lnc-POM121-2:5". Lineage: Eukaryota; Metazoa; Chordata; Mammalia; Primates; Hominidae. The record is from RNAcentral.